UCUGCUAGUCGAACGAACUCAUGGUAUUGAUUGGUGCUUGCAUCAUGAUUUACAUUUGAGUGAGUGGCGAACUGGUGAGUAACACGUGGGAAACCUGCCCAGAAGCGGGGGAUAACACCUGGAAACAGAUGCUAAUACCGCAUAACAACUUGGACCGCAUGGUCCGAGUUUGAAAGAUGGCUUCGGCUAUCACUUCUGGAUGGUCCCGCGGCGUAUUAGCUAGAUGGUGAGGUAACGGCUCACCAUGGCAAUGAUACGUAGCCGACCUGAGAGGGUAAUCGGCCACAUUGGGACUGAGACACGGCCCAAACUCCUACGGGAGGCAGCAGUAGGGAAUCUUCCACAAUGGACGAAAGUCUGAUGGAGCAACGCCGCGUGAGUGAAGAAGGGUUUCGGCUCGUAAAACUCUGUUGUUAAAGAAGAACAUAUCUGAGAGUAACUGUUCAGGUAUUGACGGUAUUUAACCAGAAAGCCACGGCUAACUACGUGCCAGCAGCCGCGGUAAUACGUAGGUGGCAAGCGUUGUCCGGAUUUAUUGGGCGUAAAGCGAGCGCAGGCGGUUUUUUAAGUCUGAUGUGAAAGCCUUCGGCUCAACCGAAGAAGUGCAUCGGAAACUGGGAAACUUGAGUGCAGAAGAGGACAGUGGAACUCCAUGUGUAGCGGUGAAAUGCGUAGAUAUAUGGAAGAACACCAGUGGCGAAGGCGGCUGUCUGGUCUGUAACUGACGCUGAGGCUCGAAAGUAUGGGUAGCAAACAGGAUUAGAUACCCUGGUAGUCCAUACCGUACACGAUGAAUGCUAAGUGUUGGAGGGUUUCCGCCCUUCAGUGCUGCAGCUAACGCAUUAAGCAUUCCGCCUGGGGAGUACGGCCGCAAGUCUGACACUCAAAGGAAUUGACGGAGGCACGCACAAGCGGUGCAGCAUGUGGUUCAAUUCGAAGCUACGCGAAGAACCUUACCAGGUCUUGACAUACUAUGCCAAUCUAAGAGAUUAGACGUUCCCUUCGGGAAAUGGAUACAGGUGGUGCAUGGUUGUCGUCAGCUCGUGUCGUGAGAAGUUGGGUUAAUCCCGCACGAGCCCACCCUUAUUAUCGGUGCCACCUUAAGUGGGCACCCUGUGGGACUACCGUUACAACCGGAG
This 1139-nucleotide ribosomal RNA is filed under the name Lactiplantibacillus plantarum. RNAcentral's name for it is "bacterial SSU rRNA". It matches the Rfam family "Bacterial small subunit ribosomal RNA", at positions 54 to 1168 of the family's 1533-position model. The record is from RNAcentral. Lineage: Bacteria; Bacillati; Bacillota; Bacilli; Lactobacillales; Lactobacillaceae.